CCUACGGGAGGCAGCAGUGAGGAAUAUUGGUCAAUGGCCGAAAGUCUGAACCAGCCAAGUCGCGUGAAGGAAGACUGCUCUAUGGGUUGUAAACUUCUUUUAUAUGGGAAUAAAAUGAUCCACGUGUGGGAAUUUGUAUGUACCCUAUGAAUAAGGAUCGGCUAACUCCGUGCCAGCAGCCGCGGUAAUACGGAGGAUCCGAGCGUUAUCCGGAUUUAUUGGGUUUAAAGGGAGCGUAGGUGGUUUUUUAAGUCAGUUGUGAAAGUUUGGGGCUCAACCGUAAAAUUGCAGUUGAAACUGGCAGUCUGGAGGACAGUAGAGGAGGGCGGAAGUCUGGGG
This 339-nucleotide ribosomal RNA is filed under the name uncultured bacterium. RNAcentral's name for it is "partial 16S ribosomal RNA". It matches the Rfam family "Bacterial small subunit ribosomal RNA", at positions 338 to 674 of the family's 1533-position model. The record is from RNAcentral.